GACAUUGCCACCCGUUGGGCCCCUUAUUUGUGAUAGAGUGUCAAGAAUAUUUUAUUAUUAAAAAUCAAGUCCUAAUUUUAUAAAACUAACUAUUUUUUUUCAGAAUUUCUUGUACCCUAGCAUUGAAAAACAUAAUUAAUAUUUAUUUUAUUGAAUCUAAGCUAGUUCCGCCAUUAAAACUUAACGUGAAUGUUGCCAGGUAGACGACAGACUAUCUCAUUUAAAUGAACGAGGUGAUCGAUUGAAAAUAUCGAUAUAAUAUAUAGCAUUUUUCUCUUAUAUCAAAAUGUACAAGUAUAUAUAUUAAGUAUGCACUCGUAAAUAGUAAACAAGAAAAGAAGAAAGAAAAACUGUUUAUAACUGUUGCACAAACAAUAAAAUAUCAACACUAACAAAAGUCACCACUGAACUAUAUCUAUAAAACGGUUACACCUAACACCAUACAUGGAAUACAACAAUAACACAAUAAUUAGUAAAUGAUAUUAUUUAUAACAAAUCGAUUUAGAAAAUCGAUUAACAAAAUAUUUAACAUGGUAACAUCUACUCGGAACGCGAGUCUAUCUGUCAAAUCAAUACGUCAUUCAAAUUGUUUUCGUGCCGGUUGUUAUGCGUAGAGUUGAAUUUAUUCCUCCGUAUUUGCUUCUGAUAGUUACAAUUUGCGUAAAAACUGUCGAGCUAAUCGUUUUCGUGCCUCCAGUGGUUUUUUUUUAGAUAUUGGACUCUUUUCUUAAUGAUAAGUGAGCACAUUGACUCGUGAGCAUUGGACUCUUGUUUUUAGUGAUAUUGUUGUUUUACUCCGGAAAAAUGUCUGCACCUGGUAGAAGUCGAGUAAACUACUCUUUGUCUCGCCAGUGUGUUAAUUUCUCUUUACGUAUAGGGCCUAAUCUUCGUAGACGUUAAAUUGAAGAAAUAGAUGAACCAAUGCUUAUCCUUCUAAACACCUACAUUGAUAUCUUCUGAUGAUAUCCUGUGUGUGAAAUGUUUUGUAUUAUUACAAAACCAGACAGCAUCUAACUCAAAUCUGUCACUUGUAUCCCCUGCUCGUGGACACCUAAACAUAUGCUACGCAUGUGGCUUGUCAACAGCAAGUCGCAGAACUCAUAGAGUCAGUCAAGAUAGUUCCUCAAAGGAAUGUUAUACUAAGAUGGACACCAGUACAUCACGUGUUGCAUUUGGAACGAGUUUGUGUUCCUUGUUGGGCGGCUGCAUCAAGACAAGUCUGGAGGCAACCCGUUGCUGGCAGUAGCCAACACACUGUGGAGUCUGCACCGGAGACUGGUAUCAUGGAUGGAAACAUAAUUACAGAUAUGAUGAUUCCUGUACCACCACCACUGCCGCCGCUUUAAUGAUAUAAGCGCUCCAGCACAAUUUCUAGACAACAUAUUCCUUGAAGAAUAAAUGUCUAUUAUUUUAAUUGGUUGUGUUUUUUCUUAUUAAACAUCUGUAUAGCA
RNAcentral lists this long non-coding RNA (1451 nucleotides) under Helicoverpa zea (corn earworm). RNAcentral describes it as "uncharacterized LOC124629742, transcript variant X2". Lineage: Eukaryota; Metazoa; Arthropoda; Insecta; Lepidoptera; Noctuidae. The record is from RNAcentral.